This 485-nucleotide ribosomal RNA is filed under the name Fusarium buharicum. RNAcentral describes it as "eukaryotic LSU rRNA". It matches the Rfam family "Eukaryotic large subunit ribosomal RNA", at positions 116 to 624 of the family's 3401-position model. Lineage: Eukaryota; Fungi; Ascomycota; Sordariomycetes; Hypocreales; Nectriaceae. The record is from RNAcentral.
UGAAAUCUGGCUCUCGGGCCCGAGUUGUAAUUUGUAGAGGAUGCUUUUGAUGCGGUGCCUUCCGAGUUCCCUGGAACGGGACGCCAUAGAGGGUGAGAGCCCCGUCUGGUUGGAUGCCAAAUCUCUGUAAAGCUCCUUCGACGAGUCGAGUAGUUUGGGAAUGCUGCUCUAAAUGGGAGGUAUAUGUCUUCUAAAGCUAAAUACCGGCCAGAGACCGAUAGCGCACAAGUAGAGUGAUCGAAAGAUGAAAAGCACUUUGAAAAGAGAGUUAAAAAGUACGUGAAAUUGUUGAAAGGGAAGCGUUUAUGACCAGACUUGGGCUUGGUUAAUCAUCUGGGGUUCUCCCCAGUGCACUUUUCCAGUCCAGGCCAGCAUCAGUUUUCCCCGGGGGACAAAGGCUUCGGGAAUGUGGCUCUCUUCGGGGAGUGUUAUAGCCCGUUGCGUAAUACCCUGGGGGGGACUGAGGUUCGCGCUUCUGCAAGGAU